GGACGGAGGAUUCGUCUGAAGUGAUGAGAUGACUUAGUGGCGGACGGGUGAGUAACGCGUGGGUAACCUGCCGUAUGCAGGGGGACAACAGUUGGAACGACUGCUAAUACCGCAUAAGCGCACGUGACCGCAUGGUCGAGUGUGAAAAGAUUUAUCGGCAUACGAUGGACCCGCGUCUGAUUAGAUAGUUGGUGAGGUAACGGCUCACCAAGUCGACGAUCAGUAGCCGGCCUGAGAGGGUGAACGGCCACAUUGGGACUGAGACACGGCCCAAACUCCUACGGGAGGCAGCAGUGGGGAAUAUUGCACAAUGGGGGAAACCCUGAAUGCAGCGACGCCGCGUGAGUGAAGAAGUAUUUCGGUAUGUAAAGCUCUAUCAGCAGGGAAGAAAAUGACGGUACCUGACUAAGAACGCCCCGGCUAACUACGUGCCAGCCGCCGC
RNAcentral lists this ribosomal RNA (442 nucleotides) under uncultured bacterium. RNAcentral describes it as "bacterial SSU rRNA". It matches the Rfam family "Bacterial small subunit ribosomal RNA", at positions 64 to 518 of the family's 1533-position model. The record is from RNAcentral.